GACGAACGUUGGCGGCGUGCUUAACACAUGCAAGUCGAACGGAAAGGCCCUGCUUUUGUGGGGUGCUCGAGUGGCGAACGGGUGAGUAACACGUGAGUAACCUGCCCUUGACUUUGGGAUAACUUCGGGAAACUGGGGCUAAUACCGGAUAGGAGCUCCUGCUGCAUGGUGGGGGUUGGAAAGUUUCGGCGGUUGGGGAUGGACUCGCGGCUUAUCAGCUUGUUGGUGGGGUAGUGGCUUACCAAGGCUUUGACGGGUAGCCGGCCUGAGAGGGUGACCGGCCACAUUGGGACUGAGAUACGGCCCAGACUCCUACGGGAGGCAGCAGUGGGGAAUAUUGCACAAUGGGCGGAAGCCUGAUGCAGCAACGCCGCGUGCGGGAUGACGGCCUUCGGGUUGUAAACCGCUUUCGCCUGUGACGAAGCGUGAGUGACGGUAAUGGGUAAAGAAGCACCGGCUAACUACGUGCCAGCAGCCGCGGUGAUACGUAGGGUGCGAGCGUUGUCCGGAUUUAUUGGGCGUAAAGGGCUCGUAGGUGGUUGAUCGCGUCGGAAGUGUAAUCUUGGGGCUUAACCCUGAGCGUGCUUUCGAUACGGGUUGACUUGAGGAAGGUAGGGGAGAAUGGAAUUCCUGGUGGAGCGGUGGAAUGCGCAGAUAUCAGGAGGAACACCAGUGGCGAAGGCGGUUCUCUGGGCCUUUCCUGACGCUGAGGAGCGAAAGCGUGGGGAGCGAACAGGCUUAGAUACCCUGGUAGUCCACGCUGUAAACGGUGGGUACUAGGUGUGGGGUCCAUUCCACGGGUUCCGUGCCGUAGCUAACGCUUUAAGUACCCCGCCUGGGGAGUACGGCCGCAAGGCUAAAACUCAAAGGAAUUGACGGGGCCCCGCACAAGCGGCGGAGCAUGCGGAUUAAUUCGAUGCAACGCGUAGAACCUUACCUGGGUUUGACAUGGAUCGGGAGUGCUCAGAGAUGGGUGUGCCUCUUUUGGGGUCGGUUCACAGGUGGUGCAUGCCUGUCGUCAGCUCGUGUCGUGAGGUGUUGGGUUAAGUCCCGCAACGAGCGCAACCCUUGUUCACUGUUGCCAGCACGUUAUGGUGGGGACUCAGUGGAGACCGCCGGGGUCAACUCGGAGGAAGGUGGGGAUGACGUCAAGUCCUCAUGCCCCUUAUGUCCAGGGCUUCACGCAUGCUACAAUGGCUGGUACAGAGAGUGGCGAGCCUGUGAGGGUGAGCGAAUCUCGGAAAGCCGGUCUCAGUUCGGAUUGGGGUCUGCAACUCGACCUCAUGAAGUCGGAGUCGCUAGUAAUCGCAGAUCAGCAACGCUGCGGUGAAUACGUUCCCGGG
RNAcentral lists this ribosomal RNA (1343 nucleotides) under uncultured bacterium. Its description in RNAcentral is "16S ribosomal RNA". It matches the Rfam family "Bacterial small subunit ribosomal RNA", at positions 28 to 1378 of the family's 1533-position model. The record is from RNAcentral.